Molecule: non-coding RNA, 124 nt
Organism: Brachypodium distachyon (stiff brome)
Lineage: Eukaryota; Viridiplantae; Streptophyta; Magnoliopsida; Poales; Poaceae
Source: Rfam
GAACUACUCCCUCCGUCCCAUAUUAAGUGACUCAAAUUUGCCAAAAUAUGGAUGUAUCUAUGUCUAAAAAGCGUCUAGAUACAUGUAAUAGAAGUCACUUAAUAUAAGACGGAGGGAGUAUAUG